CAUGAAGCUGGAAUCGCUAGUAAUCGCGGAUCNGAAUGCCGCGGUGAAUACGUUCCCGGGUCUUGUACACACCGCCCGUCACACCAUGGGAGUCGGAAAUGCCCGAAGUCGGUGACCUAACUGAAAGGAAGGAGCCGCCGAAGGCAGGUCUGGUGACUGGGGUGAAGUCGUAACAAGGUACC
This 182-nucleotide ribosomal RNA is filed under the name uncultured bacterium. RNAcentral's name for it is "partial 16S ribosomal RNA". It matches the Rfam family "Bacterial small subunit ribosomal RNA", at positions 1319 to 1500 of the family's 1533-position model. The record is from RNAcentral.